GCUGGCUUAGCUCAGUAGGUAGAGCAAUUGAUUCGUAAUCAAUAGGUCGCAGGUUCGAUUCCCGUAGCCAGCACCA
RNAcentral lists this transfer RNA (76 nucleotides) under Succinatimonas hippei. RNAcentral describes it as "tRNA-Thr". It matches the Rfam family "tRNA". Rfam says of the family: Transfer RNA (tRNA) molecules are approximately 80 nucleotides in length. Their secondary structure includes four short double-helical elements and three loops (D, anti-codon, and T loops). Further hydrogen bonds mediate the characteristic L-shaped molecular structure. tRNAs have two regions of fundamental functional importance: the anti-codon, which is responsible for specific mRNA codon recognition, and the 3' end, to which the tRNAs corresponding amino acid is attached (by aminoacyl-tRNA synthetases). tRNAs cope with the degeneracy of the genetic code in two manners: having more than one tRNA (with a specific anti-codon) for a particular amino acid; and 'wobble' base-pairing, i.e. permitting non-standard base-pairing at the 3rd anti-codon position. The record is from RNAcentral. Lineage: Bacteria; Pseudomonadati; Pseudomonadota; Gammaproteobacteria; Aeromonadales; Succinivibrionaceae. RNAcentral also lists the same sequence under 1 other name.